This 462-nucleotide ribosomal RNA is filed under the name uncultured bacterium. Its description in RNAcentral is "bacterial SSU rRNA". It matches the Rfam family "Bacterial small subunit ribosomal RNA", at positions 338 to 795 of the family's 1533-position model. The record is from RNAcentral.
CCUANGGGUGGCAGCAGUCGAGAAUCUUCGGCAAUGGGCGCAAGCCUGACCGAGCGACGCCGCGUGCGGGAUGAAGGCCCUCGGGUUGUAAACCGCUGUCAGAGGGAUGGAAGUGCCAAGGGGUUCUCUCCUUGGUUUGACUGACCCUCAGAGGAAGUACGGGCUAAGUUCGUGCCAGCAGCCGCGGUAAGACGAACCGUACGAACGUUACUCGGAAUCACUGGGCUUAAAGGGUGCGUAGGCUGUCCGGUAAGUCGGGUGUGAAAUACCUCAGCUCAACUGAGGAAUUGCGCCCGAAACUGUCGGACUCGAGGGAGACAGAGGUGAGCGGAACUUAGGGUGGAGCGGUGAAAUGCGUUGAUAUCCUAAGGAACACCAGUGGCGAAAGCGGCUCACUGGGUCUCUUCUGACGCUGAGGCACGAAAGCCAGGGGAGCGAACGGGAUUAGAUACCCUUNUANUC